Long non-coding RNA from Mustela lutreola (European mink), 3364 nucleotides. RefSeq lists it as uncharacterized. Lineage: Eukaryota; Metazoa; Chordata; Mammalia; Carnivora; Mustelidae. The transcript has 5 exons. The record is from RefSeq and is a predicted model, not a curated record.
UUAAUAUGGUAAAUGCCAUUUAUAGACUUCCUGCUAUUAAAUUAUCCUUGCAUUCUUUUUUUAUUUUUCUUUUUUUUAAGAUUUUUUGUGUUUGAGAGAGCACGAGACAGCAAGCAGGAGCGGGGGGAGGGAGAGGAAGAAUCAGGCUCUCUGCGGAGCGGGGAGCCUGACACUCAGCUUGAUCCCAGGACUCCUAAGACCAUGACCUAAGCCAAAGGCAGAUGCUUAACCGACUGAGCCACCGGGGCACCCUGUCCUUGCAUUCUUAGGAUAAACUACUCGACCAUAAGCAUUGCUUGUAGUAGACGGUGUUACUGUUCCCUCAAUACCGGCUCCCCUUCUUGGAAGAGGACCAGACAUCCCCACCUACGGUCGUGUGAGGGGCCCCUCAUGUACCCGCCCAGCCAGCAGUCACUGGAGUCCAGACGGCAUCUAUGGGAGCAGAAACCUGAAAAGAUAUCCUGUGUGAUUGUCCUGGCCCUCUGGAUCUUUCUCUCUCCCACAAAGAUGGCAUGUCUGUGCCUGGGAAGUCCCAGGACGGAGAGGACGCGUGGAGGAACGUCUGACAAUAGACGUCCGUUUGGGUUCUCGGACAGGGAAGGAAGUCGAGCGGGUGAGGUGCGCUCACAGACCAGCUCCACUUAGUGCCACGGGGAUGACUCAGCCUCGCGGGACCAGCCUCCAAGCAGCCAUGUGAAGUCUGUCUCAGGAAAGUCUGCCUGGGGAGUACUUUAAAGACACCUUCAAUCACUCAGUAAACUCUCUUGGAGAGACAGCAAGAGAGAGAACAUGAGCAGGGCGAGCGGCAGAGGAGGAAGCAGGCUCCCCACGGAGCAGGGAGCCCUAUGCGGGGCUCAAUCCUAGGACCCUGGGAUCUGACCUGAGCCGAAGGCAGACGCUUGACCGACUGAGCCACCCAGGCGGCCCUCAAUCUUAGGCUUAUUCAGGUCCAGCACUUAAUGAAAAACUGACCUAGAGAACAGUGGCACCUGGUUACCCAAACCUUGGAGAGAAGCCGAUAAAGAGAGAGCCCCGCAGGAGAGGCAGGUCCUAGAGUCAACACACGCAGACUUACAAUAACUAAUUCUUGUGUUCCGGAAAUUAAAUGAUAAGACGGACAAUUUCAGGAGAGAACAGGAGACUGUAAAAAAGAACCAAAUAGAAACUCUAGAACUGAACAAUGCCAUGAAGGAUACUAGUAAUAAAUGGGUUUAACUGUUGAUUAGCAUAUAUGAAAUAAAUAUAGUAACACUAAUAUUGCAUAAAGGAGAUUCUAAUGUCAAGAGCAAGAUAGAAGAAAAUGAAGAGGAAUAUUCCUUUUUUUUGAAGAUUUUAUUUAUUUAUUCUACAGAGCUAGAGAGAGUGCACAAGCAGAGGGAGCAGGAGGCAGAGGGAGAAGCAGGCUCCCUGCUGAGCAGAGAGCCCCAUGCGGGGCUGGAUCCCAGGACCCUAAGGUUACAGCCUGAGCCAAAGAAAGAUGUUUCACCAACUGAGCCGCCCAGGCACCCCUGAAGAGGAAUAUUUCAUAAUGAUGAUGAGGUCAGUUCAUUAAGAAGUUGUAACAGUAUAAAAUUCGUAAAUACCUAAGAACAAACCAUCAGAGUAUAGAAGACAGUAACAGUGAUAGUAACGGGAGAAAGAGAGAAGUGGCUCAUCGAGGUGGGAGACUCCAGCCUCUCCUUCACCGGAGGACUGAAGACCAGGCACAGCAGGUAAGUGUUUCAAGUACUAGAACAUUCUAGAACAUUCACCAGAGUUGGCUACAUGUUAGACCAUAAAGCAACUCAGCCACUGUUGAGUGACUGAGAUCAAACCAAGAAUAUCCUCUGGCCGCAGAAGAAUUAGUUUAGUAAUCAGCAACAAACAACAAACUAAGAUACCCCAAAUGUUCAGAAGUCGACCGACACGUGUGUGAACAUGUGGCAGAGUGAUCCGGUCACAGCGGAGAGGAUCGCGUAUUUCGAACUAACUAUGUUGAAAAUACCUAAGCUCGUAGGAGGCAGGAAAAGCUCUGCUUGUGACCUUAAAAAUUGGUCUCCUGUCCAUGAAAGUACAGAAUAUGAGCCACGUGUAUGUAUCACAAUAUACACAGUUGGAGACAAGAAAGGCUGAAGAUCGCGACGUCAGCAUCCGUCUUAGGAGGUUAGAGACGAACAAACGGCAGAGGAGAAGCAGCGCGACAUGCAAGCACAACAAGACAGCACAGGUUCGCAGCGGACUCCGUAAGGGUGCGAGUUGGUCCUUUGAAAUAACUGAUAAAAUGCAGAAAAGCCUUGGUCCCAUGUCAAGCCCAAAGGAGCAAGGCACAGAAAACCAGCACCGAAAAGGGGACAGAGCUGUGAAAUUUCAAAAGGUCCCUAGAGACCUAAUGUGCACCUGAGACUGAGAACCUCAGGGGGUGAUCUGGAGAACCCUUGGUGUCGGUAUCUUUGGAUUCUUUCCCCUCUCUUAAGCCUGUUCAGAUUCCCCCAGUGAAGAAUCUUCCAGUUUCCUGCCUGGAGGUACAACCCUGGUUGCUAGCUUUCUGGAAGUCCAGCAGGGCGAGAGGGCCGAGGCGUCUUCCUGUUCAGAACAGAAGCUCUCCCUGUAUCUUUCCAACCUCCGAACGGGUGCUCUCGCCUCUGCUGGAUCUGGUGACCCUAGACCAGGGGCCAAAGUCCAAGGCCCCUGCUAGGGAGCGAGAGGCAGCCCUGGGGGAAGAGGGAGCUCUGGCGGUCUUGCCAAUUCUGCAACAGACUCUCCAUCAGGGUUUCACCUCGGCCCCCCUGCCGGUCUCCCCCGCGGUCCCGGUGCCCUGAGCGGCCGAGGUGGGGGUCUGGUGCGCACCCAUCUGCCUCCUGCACACAAACCUUUUCUCCAGUCUGUCUCUCAGCUUGCAACCUGGCCUGUGCUGUCAUGCAUUGUGGGCAUGUUUUUAAUUAUAAUGAGGUCAGAUCUGUCCAAAUCUGCCCCUUUCCCUUGUGCUGUGUUCCGCCCAGUUCGCGGGGGGGAGGGGGGGGCUCUGCCCUCCCUUCACCCCCGACCGGAACUGUCACACUCAGGCGUCAUUACCUGCUGCAGACUGAGUGUCCGCGGUACAGAGCUCUCCGGAAGUUCCGCUGACUUCGGGAGCUUCCUGCCCCAGCACGACCCCGACCGUCAGGCUGCUCCCGCCUGCCCUCCAGGGUAACGGCACCCUCGUUUCUCGCCGCCUCCCUCGGCGGUGCUAGGACCGCGCUGCGGCUGCCGUCCUACCCCCCCCCCCCUCUCCGUGCAGCUCUAGCCUUAGAAGCAGAAACUCCCACCCUGGUCUUUCCUUGUUUACAACACGUGGUCUUCCCUGAGAGUUUGUACAGAAAAACAAAAACUUGAUCUACUUCUCCCA